Molecule: unclassified non-coding RNA, 590 nt
Filed under: Hevea brasiliensis (rubber tree)
Lineage: Eukaryota; Viridiplantae; Streptophyta; Magnoliopsida; Malpighiales; Euphorbiaceae
Source: RNAcentral
AAAAAAAAAAAAAAAAAAACACUCUCUUCAAUCUCUACCCAAGGAGGGAGAUUAAGAGAUUUCUAAAACGCUAAAGAAACACUAUAUCUAACCCCAACCCAAGAAUAUCUCGAAAUCCGCCAAACACAGGUGGAAAACACUGAAUCAAAACCAUCAAAUCCAUCAAUAUCUCCGCUACCUAAUAACGAUUAUUAUUAUUAUUACUAAUUUUCACGCAAUCCCCAGAAGAAAAUUCUUUAAAAAAAAGAAAAUUCUUUAAAAAAAAAAAAAUUCUACAGACCUAAAAUGAAGAGGAAUGGAAGGGAACCUUCAAGGAGUACCUUGUAGGAAUAGUAUCGAGGAAGUGAGAAGCAGCAGAGGCGAUGGUGCCGAUCAUUUCCAUCAUAUUAUCACCAUCGUCAACAACCUCCAUUUUUUUUUUCUACUAGAUUUUUUUUCGCCCUUGUUCUGCUGCUCUUGUGUGUUCCGUCAAAAGAAACAGAGAGAUAACUGCGGUUUACGUGAAUAGAAAGAAGAAAAAAGAGACGCAAUGCAGCCUCUGAUUAGAAGGCGUCUUGAAACAGUAGAAGCCUCCACUAGACAAAUCUUAC